Molecule: ribosomal RNA, 371 nt
Filed under: uncultured bacterium
Lineage: Bacteria
Description: bacterial SSU rRNA
Rfam family: Bacterial small subunit ribosomal RNA
Source: RNAcentral
AUUGAACGCUGGCGGCAUGCCUUACACAUGCAAGUCGAACGGCAGCACGGGAGCAAUCCUGGUGGCGAGUGGCGAACGGGUGAGUAAUAUAUCGGAACGUGCCCGGUCGUGGGGGAUAACGUAGCGAAAGCUACGCUAAUACCGCAUACGAUCUACGGAUGAAAGCGGGGGAUCGCAAGACCUCGCGCGAUUGGAGCGGCCGAUAUCAGAUUAGGUAGUUGGUGAGGUAAAGGCUCACCAAGCCGACGAUCUGUAGCUGGUCUGAGAGGACGACCAGCCACACUGGGACUGAGACACGGCCCAGACUCCUACGGGAGGCAGCAGUGGGGAAUUUUGGACAAUGGGCGGCAAGCCUGAUCCAGCAAUAGCCG